Molecule: ribosomal RNA, 406 nt
Filed under: uncultured bacterium
Lineage: Bacteria
Description: partial 16S ribosomal RNA
Rfam family: Bacterial small subunit ribosomal RNA
Source: RNAcentral
AUUGAACGCUGGCGGCAGGCCUAACACAUGCAAGUCGAGCGAGCGGCGGACGGGUGAGUAAUGUCUGGGAAACUGCCUGAUGGAGGGGGAUAACUACUGGAAACGGUAGCUAAUACCGCAUACCAUCAGAUGUGCCCAGAUGGGAUUAGCUAGUAGGUGGGGUAACGGCACACCUAGGCGACGAUCCCUAGCUGGUCUGAGAGGAUGAACAGCCACAGUGGAACUGAGACACGGCCCAGACCACGCCGGGAGGCGGCAGUGGGGAAUAUUGCACAAUGGGCGCAAGCCUAAGGUAGCCAUGCCGCGUGUGUGAAGAAGGCCUUCGGGUUGUAAAGCACUUUCAGCGUGGAGGCGUUACCCGCAGAAGAAGCACCGGCUAACGCCGUGCCAGCAGCCGCGGUAAUUC